AUAUGGUUGUGAUGGUUUGUUUUACAGCUAAUUAUGCCAGUUCUGCUUCUGAAAAUCCUUGAUUGAUAAAGCUGUUUCAUAUCUGAGCCUCCU
Molecule: small nucleolar RNA, 93 nt
Filed under: Erythranthe guttata (spotted monkey flower)
Lineage: Eukaryota; Viridiplantae; Streptophyta; Magnoliopsida; Lamiales; Phrymaceae
Source: RNAcentral